RNAcentral lists this ribosomal RNA (453 nucleotides) under Carex muricata. RNAcentral describes it as "eukaryotic LSU rRNA". The stretch from base 312 to 453 matches the Rfam family "Eukaryotic large subunit ribosomal RNA", at positions 1 to 141 of the family's 3401-position model. The record is from RNAcentral. Lineage: Eukaryota; Viridiplantae; Streptophyta; Magnoliopsida; Poales; Cyperaceae.
UGCAGAAUCCCGUGAACCAUCGAGUCUUUGAACGCAAGUUGCGCCCGAGGGACCCUCCCGAGGGCACGCCUGCCUCAUGGGCGUUAGAAGCCCAUUCACGCUCGGUUGCCUAACGGCAGAGAUGCGGACAUUGGCCCUCCGAACCGCGAGGUGCGGUGGGCCUAAGUGUGCGGCCGUCGUAUGUGGCCGGGAGCGGCGAGUGGUGGGCUACUGCGCACGUCACCCCGAGCCCCGUACCGACGCAGGGCCUUUUUUGACCCCUAACGAGGAGCCUGCCGUUGCAGCUGGCGCUGCGCGGCGCCUUCGGACCGAUACCCCAGGUCAGGCGGGGCUACCCGCUGAGUUUAAGCAUAUAAAUAAGCGGAGGAGAAGAAACUUACAAGGAUUCCCCUAGUAACGGCGAGCGAACCGGGAGCAGCCCAGCCUUAGAAUCGCGGCGGCACUGCCGCCCGA